This 368-nucleotide long non-coding RNA is filed under the name Brassica napus (rape). Its description in RNAcentral is "long non-coding RNA (BNAP_LNC012282)". Lineage: Eukaryota; Viridiplantae; Streptophyta; Magnoliopsida; Brassicales; Brassicaceae. The record is from RNAcentral.
CGCGAUGUAAGUUCUUAUAAUAAUGUUUAUUUAUUAAAUGAUUUUAACAUUUUGUAACAUUACAAUUUUUAUCGAUUAUAAAAUGGUGAAUACAAAUGUUGGUUUCUUAAAUAUAUCAUCAUUGUUGAAGAGUUAACGUAUUACAUUUCAUUUUAGUUAUUUUUAAGACUUCAUAUGCACAAAAAAAAUUACGUUUUGGGGCUGAUACAAAUCACCAAAACCAAAUAGGCAACAUCGAUUGUAUAAUGACGAAAGGUGAUUAGGUUUUCUUCUCUCUAUUUUUUUACUAUUGACUUUCCAUAAGUGAUUUUAUUUUCUAUAUCUAUAGAAUUGUGUUUUCGUUCUUAUCUUUGUUUCAUUGAUAUGAA